ACGCUGGCGGCAGGCUUAACACAUGCAAGUCGAACGGUAACAGGGAUUAGCUUGCUAAUUUGCUGACGAGUGGCGGACGGGUGAGUAAUGCUUGGGAAUCUGGCUUAUGGAGGGGGAUAACUACGGGAAACUGUAGCUAAUACCGCGUAAUAUCGGAAGAUUAAAGGGUGGGACUUUCGGGCCACCUGCCAUAAGAUGAGCCCAAGUGGGAUUAGGUAGUUGGUUAGGUAAAGGCUGACCAAGCCGACGAUCUCUAGCUGGUCUGAGAGGAUGACCAGCCACACUGGAACUGAGACACGGUCCAGACUCCUACGGGAGGCAGCAGUGGGGAAUAUUGCACAAUGGGGGGAACCCUGAUGCAGCCAUGCCGCGUGAAUGAAGAAGGCCUUCGGGUUGUAAAGUUCUUUCGGUGACGAGGAAGGUUGAUAUGUUAAUAGCGUAUCAAAUUGACGUUAAUCACAGAAG
RNAcentral lists this ribosomal RNA (465 nucleotides) under Pseudohaemophilus paraphrohaemolyticus. Its description in RNAcentral is "Haemophilus paraphrohaemolyticus bacterial SSU rRNA". It matches the Rfam family "Bacterial small subunit ribosomal RNA", at positions 33 to 487 of the family's 1533-position model. Lineage: Bacteria; Pseudomonadati; Pseudomonadota; Gammaproteobacteria; Pasteurellales; Pasteurellaceae. The record is from RNAcentral.